ACGAACGCUGGCGGCGUGCUUCACACAUGCAAGUCGAACGGAAAGGCCCUGCUUGCAGGGUACUCGAGUGGCGAACGGGUGAGUAACACGUGGGUGAUCUGCCCUGCACUUCGGGAUAAGCCUGGGAAACUGGGUCUAAUACCGGAUAGGAGCCGUUUUUAGUGUGAUGGUUGGAAAGUUUUUUCGGUGUAGGAUGAGCUCGCGGCCUAUCAGCUUGUUGGUGGGGUAAUGGCCUACCAAGGCGGCGACGGGUAGCCGGCCUGAGAGGGUGGACGGCCACAUUGGGACUGAGAUACGGCCCAGACUCCUACGGGAGGCAGCAGUGGGGAAUAUUGCACAAUGGGCGCAAGCCUGAUGCAGCGACGCCGCGUGGGGGAUGACGGCCUUCGGGUUGUAAACUCCUUUCGCUAGGGACGAAGCUUUUUGUGACGGUACCUAGAUAAGAAGCACCGGCUAACUACGUG
RNAcentral lists this ribosomal RNA (464 nucleotides) under uncultured bacterium. RNAcentral describes it as "partial 16S ribosomal RNA". It matches the Rfam family "Bacterial small subunit ribosomal RNA", at positions 29 to 507 of the family's 1533-position model. The record is from RNAcentral.